GUAAACGUGUAGUUUAAACUGACCUGUACUGUUUUUGCGUUUUUUAGGAGCAUUCUUAUACGAAAACUACCUCUAAUGCGUAACUCUUCACCCGGCUUUCAACAUGUCACGAAGAUAUGAUUCACGAACAACUAUAUUCUCUCCAGAGGGGAGACUGUAUCAGGUGGAGUAUGCUAUGGAGGCGAUUGGGCACGCAGGAACCUGUCUAGGUAUCCUAGCUAAUGACGGGGUUUUAUUGGCCGCGGAAAGACGCAACACAAACAAACUUCUGGAUGAAGUGUCAUAUUCAGAGAAAAUUUACAAACUUUACAAUGAUAUGGCUUGUAGUGUUGCUGGAAUCACAUCGGAUGCAAAUGUUUUAACAAAUGAACUCCGACUAAUUGCACAGAGGUUCCAUUUACAGUAUCAAGAACCUAUACCAUGCGAACAGCUUGUCAGUUCAUUGUGUGAUUUAAAACAAGCAUACACACAAUUUGGAGGUAAACGACCCUUUGGAGUAUCCCUGUUGUACAUGGGUUGGGAUAAACACUAUGGAUUUCAGUUGUAUCAGAGUGACCCUAGUGGAAACUAUGGAGGAUGGAAAGCUACUUGUAUUGGAAAUAACAGUGCAAACGCAGUGUCCAUGUUGAAACAAGAGUAUAAGGAUGGAGAAAUGACUCUGAGUGAUGCCUUACUAUUAGCAAUUAAAACCCUCAGUAAAACGCUGGAUAUGACCAAACUGACAGCUGACAAAGUUGAAAUAGCCACAUUGACAAGAGAAAAUGGAAAAACCAAGAUGACCAUCCUUGGGGCCCCUGCUGUGGAGGAAAUCAUAAAGAAGCAUGAAGAAAUCGAGGCAAAAUCAGAGGCGGAGAAAAAGAAGGAAAAGUCAUAAUAACAGGUCAGUAUUAACAGUUUAACAAAAUAAUAACAGGCCAAUAUUAAUAGCUUAACAAAAGGAAAAUAAUAACAGGUCAGUAUUAACAGCUUAUCAAAGUAAGAAGUCUGUGAAAUAUCAUUUAAAAGACUGACUUUUAAAAGUAGUACAUAUAUCUACUUUUAUUGUGAUUUAUGUAACCCUUUGUUCUGAAACAUUUUCUUUCAGGUCGUCGAUGAAUAGUGGAG
This is an RNA transcript of Ostrea edulis (European flat oyster), 1104 nucleotides long. It is a transcript of the gene named proteasome subunit alpha type-4-like, with no coding region annotated. The transcript is spliced from 9 exons. NCBI's taxonomy places the organism in Eukaryota, Metazoa, Mollusca, Bivalvia, Ostreida, Ostreidae. The record is from RefSeq and is a predicted model, not a curated record.